Molecule: non-coding RNA, 306 nt
Organism: Pelobates cultripes (western spadefoot toad)
Lineage: Eukaryota; Metazoa; Chordata; Amphibia; Anura; Pelobatidae
Source: the annotation of a GenBank genome assembly
GUAUCUGACACACAGAUACGCACACCUUGACACACAGUGUGUAUCUCUGUGUGUGUGUGUAUGUAUGUAUCUAUUUAUCUAUCUGUGUGUCAAUGUGUGUGUAUCUGUGUUUCAAAGUGUGUGUAUCUGUGUUUGUAUGUGUCUGUGUAUCAAGGUGUGUGUAUCUGUGUUUGUAUGUGCCAGUGUGUAUGAAUCUGACACACACACACACUUGCACAUAGUGGCACACAGAUACAAACACUGACACAGAUACACACACCUUGACACAAGGGGUCCAGUGAGGCUGCUGAGCAGCUGGCGUGCGGG